GCCUGCUUUCUCCUGGCUGCCAGUGGGUUACAGGAUGACCUGGGCCACCAAAAGGACUUAGUCCUUAUGAGCAGGUAAAGGAGGAGGACCACCCUACUGUUUUCCUGCGUCUCACUCUGAAUGGAGUGAUCAUCUAUCAGGAGGAAGACUACACUCCACAGUGGCUCUGUGACUUCCCCAGGAUACAUAUUUAAAG
Molecule: long non-coding RNA, 196 nt
Organism: Apodemus sylvaticus (European woodmouse)
Lineage: Eukaryota; Metazoa; Chordata; Mammalia; Rodentia; Muridae
Exons: 3
Source: RefSeq, a predicted model, not a curated record